Calliphora vicina (urban bluebottle blowfly) is the source of this 2188-nucleotide long non-coding RNA. RefSeq lists it as uncharacterized. The record is from RefSeq and is a predicted model, not a curated record. NCBI's taxonomy places the organism in Eukaryota, Metazoa, Arthropoda, Insecta, Diptera, Calliphoridae. The transcript has 3 exons.
UCUAGAGCGGACGCUCGAAAAAAGCCCGUAAUCUGUACCGUGUCCAUGGGAUGAAUGGCACUACGUUAGUGUGUCUCCUAACGGUGGCCUCCGGACAAGGGCAUUGUCCGGUUGUAUUUUUGCCCAUCGACAACAAGGGGCUCUGUUGUAUGAUGUUCUGUUCUCUCCCCAUUAAUUUUUAUUUCUUUACAGGUGGACAAUAAAUUAAUCAAUAUAAAAAAUUUGGAUAAAUCAGAACAGGUCGCUAUGGAACUAACUGAACCCGUUGAAGGAUCUCAUGUUCCUAAUACUCCAAUGGAUAAAAUGGAUGAUAACUCAGCGUUGGGGGACUUAUGUCCCGAAUCAACUGGGUCAUAUAUCCCUACGGAUGAAGAAGACACGUUACUGGAUUCAACGCCAAACACGCCACCCUCUACAUCCGCAGAUACCGUUGCUACUGAGCACCAGACAAAGAGUGUAAAUAACAGACCUAAAUUAUGUGGGGCUGCACGAAAACGUCUUAGGCUAUAUAUUGAGCAAGGCAUGGACAUCGAGGAGGCACGAAUAAUAUGCCUAAGGCCGAUGAAGGAAGUUCGUAAUGAGCUACGUGACCUUAAGAUCCCCAGAAAGAGAGGUAGGUCAGACGGGUCAACUCCCGAAAAACCAAAUCCCCCUAAGAGAGUAGCUAGUGCAACUGCAGAUGGCAUAAAUCUUACCAAAGACACAAACACAAUUAAAACUACUCUACCCUCGUAUAGUGAUGUGACUCAAAUCGUACGGUUGGGUGUAAUACAAUCGGACUUCCAGAAUACGCUUAUAGCUUAUACAGGCAGCAGUCCUAGAUAAAAUUGUGGAGCUGAAAAAGGGCUCUAUAAAACCUCAAUUUUCAGGCUGUACUUUUAAACCUGGCUGGCUUGUAUUCAACUGCAAAGGCAACGAUUCAGCAAAAUGGAUUAGGGAACAUGUUCCUACGCUGAAACCAUGGCAAGAUGCUGCGAUAAAGGUUGUAUCGGAAGAUGAGGUGCCUAGGACUGAAAAAUUCGUAGGAUAUUUCCCAGAAGCGCCUGAAACACCUAACAGCAGAAUCUUAUCGCUUAUUGAAGGCCAGAAUGAUGACCUAGGUUGAGUUCUGGAAGGUCCUGAAUCGAGUCAGUAAGGGUAGUAUAGCGGAAAUUACCUUUGCUAUUGACCCAAAAUCGGCCUCCAAACUUAAGGAAAAGGAGUUCCAUAUUGGCUAUGGGUAUGGCACAGUGCACAUAAGGCCCACGAAUCGCCAACAGGGAGCGACUGACCUACCCACGAGGGCAAAAGUGAGUAGCAGACCAGGACAAGUAGUGUCUAGCAAAGAGGACAGCAAGUGUUCUACUAUGCAAACAGACCUACCUUCCUGUUCUGGUACAAGCACCAAGCCCGUAACGCAAAAGGAUGACGUACCCAAUUCAACUGGUACGGUUCGUCAGGACCAACUGGACAUCACUGUCCAAAAAAGGUCCUCUAUUGAGCCAACCAGUUCGAAGAAAGGUAUUAAUUUCACAGCCAAGUUCCGAGUCAAGGAAGAGCAGCCAUGGUAACAGGCCACGAAAGGGCUUUAGUGCCUCAGCUGAAGAAGCAGCACUACGCAGCACCAACCGUUGUAGGAAGAUGGCGGCGCGGUAAGGUAAGGUAAGGCCAAGAGGCACUUGAAGUGCCUACAGGUGAACCUACAUCACGCUAAGGCAGCCUCUAAUUUGCUAUGCCGUAGGUUCACCAAAGACCUCCUGGACAUCUGUUUUAUCCAGGAACCAUGGAUCAACUCAGGGGUAAUUAAAGGACUCCAUUGUGAUCAUGAAUUCCUACUUGGGGAUCUCGUAGCGAUUCGGGCAACUAUCCCAUCGAGGUAAUUAUUGCCUCUGCACGAGGUAAUUAUUGCCUCUGCCUACCUGCCAGGUGAUGAUGUAGUAGCGCCUUCGUUUGAAGUUUCAAAACUGGUAGAAUAUUGCCAAAACAGAAACCUUGGAUGGAUCAUCUGCUGUGAUGCUAAUGCUCAUCAUACGGUUUGGGGAAGUAGUGACAUCAACAAACGGGUUUUGAUGGAUGUGUUGCAGCUCAAUUAGCCUUUACUCCCAUCAAGGUCUUAGUCAUCGCAAUUUAUCGGGUGAUUACUUUGCGGAUUGUUCCUUUACCUCUUUGUACAUUUAUACUCAAUCUCUAUUAGAUAAAUUAUACAAAC